Molecule: ribosomal RNA, 238 nt
Filed under: uncultured bacterium
Lineage: Bacteria
Description: partial 16S ribosomal RNA
Rfam family: Bacterial small subunit ribosomal RNA
Source: RNAcentral
GACCUACGGGACGCAGCAGUGGGGGAUAUUGCACAAUGGGGGGAACCCUGAUGCAGCGACGCCGCGUGGGUGAAGGAGUGCUUCGGCAUGUAAAGCCCUAUCGGCAGGGAAGAAGCAAGACGGUACCUGACUAAGAAGCCCCGGCUAACUACGUGCCAGCAGCCGCGGUAAUACGUAGGGGGCGAGCGUUAUCCGGAUUCACUGGGUGUAAAGGGAACGCAGGCGGGCUUUUAAGUCU